CCUAUGAUCUCAAAUCAGGUGGGACUACCCGCUGAACUUAAGCAUAUCA
RNAcentral lists this ribosomal RNA (49 nucleotides) under Leucophleps spinispora. Its description in RNAcentral is "partial 28S ribosomal RNA". Lineage: Eukaryota; Fungi; Basidiomycota; Agaricomycetes; Boletales; Leucogastraceae. The record is from RNAcentral.